UCAGGACGAACGCUGGCGGCGUGCUUCAUACAUGCAAGUCGAACGAUAAGGUCUCUUCGGAGAUACAUAAGUGGCGGACGGGUGAGUAAAAUGUAGAGAAUCUGCCCUUAAGCGGGGGACAACAGAGGGAAACUUCUGCUAAUACCCCAUAUGAGCGUACCUGAAAUGGUAUUCUUGAAAACUCCGGUGCUUAAGGAUGAGUCUGCAUCUGAUUAGCUAGUUGGGGGUGUAAUGGACCACCAAGGCGACGAUCAGUAGCUGGUUUGAGAGGAUGAUCAGCCACAAUGGGACUGAGACACGGCCCAUACUCCUACGGGAGGCAGCAGUAGGGAAUUUUGCGCAAUGGGGGAAACCCUGACGCCAGCAACGCCGCGUGACCGAUGAAGCCCUUCGGGGUGUAAAGGUCUGUCAGUGGGGACGAAACUUGACGGUACCCACAGAGGAAGCAUCGGCUAACUCCGUGCCAGCAGCCGC
Molecule: ribosomal RNA, 474 nt
Filed under: uncultured bacterium
Lineage: Bacteria
Description: bacterial SSU rRNA
Rfam family: Bacterial small subunit ribosomal RNA
Source: RNAcentral